This is a long non-coding RNA of Octodon degus (degu), 118 nucleotides long. RefSeq lists it as uncharacterized. Lineage: Eukaryota; Metazoa; Chordata; Mammalia; Rodentia; Octodontidae. The transcript is spliced from 3 exons. The record is from RefSeq and is a predicted model, not a curated record.
AAAAAAAAAGCUGGCCAAAUCGGGUCUUCUCCCAGGAGACAUCAUGUUACUUCAUAGAUGCUACAGUGAGACCGCGAAACCGGGCUGGCUCAUCUCCGCGCAAACCGGCCGAGGUUAC